This 1554-nucleotide ribosomal RNA is filed under the name Staphylococcus agnetis. RNAcentral describes it as "bacterial SSU rRNA". It matches the Rfam family "Bacterial small subunit ribosomal RNA". Lineage: Bacteria; Bacillati; Bacillota; Bacilli; Caryophanales; Staphylococcaceae. The record is from RNAcentral.
UUUAUGGAGAGUUUGAUCCUGGCUCAGGAUGAACGCUGGCGGCGUGCCUAAUACAUGCAAGUCGAGCGAACUGACGAGGAGCUUGCUCCUUUGACGUUAGCGGCGGACGGGUGAGUAACACGUGGGUAACCUACCUAUAAGACUGGAAUAACUCCGGGAAACCGGGGCUAAUGCCGGAUAACAUGUUGAACCGCAUGGUUCAACAGUGAAAGACGGUUUUGCUGUCACUUAUAGAUGGACCCGCGCCGUAUUAGCUAGUUGGUAAGGUAACGGCUUACCAAGGCGACGAUACGUAGCCGACCUGAGAGGGUGAUCGGCCACACUGGAACUGAGACACGGUCCAGACUCCUACGGGAGGCAGCAGUAGGGAAUCUUCCGCAAUGGGCGAAAGCCUGACGGAGCAACGCCGCGUGAGUGAUGAAGGUCUUCGGAUCGUAAAGCUCUGUUGUUAGGGAAGAACAUAUGUGUAAGUAACUGUGCACAUCUUGACGGUACCUAACCAGAAAGCCACGGCUAACUACGUGCCAGCAGCCGCGGUAAUACGUAGGUGGCAAGCGUUAUCCGGAAUUAUUGGGCGUAAAGCGCGCGUAGGCGGUUUUUUAAGUCUGAUGUGAAAGCCCACGGCUCAACCGUGGAGGGUCAUUGGAAACUGGAAAACUUGAGUGCAGAAGAGGAAAGUGGAAUUCCAUGUGUAGCGGUGAAAUGCGCAGAGAUAUGGAGGAACACCAGUGGCGAAGGCGGCUUUCUGGUCUGUAACUGACGCUGAGGUGCGAAAGCGUGGGGAUCAAACAGGAUUAGAUACCCUGGUAGUCCACGCCGUAAACGAUGAGUGCUAAGUGUUAGGGGGUUUCCGCCCCUUAGUGCUGCAGCUAACGCAUUAAGCACUCCGCCUGGGGAGUACGGUCGCAAGACUGAAACUCAAAGGAAUUGACGGGGACCCGCACAAGCGGUGGAGCAUGUGGUUUAAUUCGAAGCAACGCGAAGAACCUUACCAAAUCUUGACAUCUUUUGACCGCUCUAGAGAUAGAGUUUUCCUCUUCGGAGGACAAAAUGACAGGUGGUGCAUGGUUGUCGUCAGCUCGUGUCGUGAGAUGUUGGGUUAAGUCCCGCAACGAGCGCAACCCUUAAGCUUAGUUGCCAUCAUUAAGUUGGGCACUCUAAGUUGACUGCCGGUGACAAACCGGAGGAAGGUGGGGAUGACGUCAAAUCAUCAUGCCCCUUAUGAUUUGGGCUACACACGUGCUACAAUGGACAAUACAAAGGGCAGCGAAACCGCGAGGUCAAGCAAAUCCCAUAAAGUUGUUCUCAGUUCGGAUUGUAGUCUGCAACUCGACUACAUGAAGCUGGAAUCGCUAGUAAUCGUAGAUCAGCAUGCUACGGUGAAUACGUUCCCGGGUCUUGUACACACCGCCCGUCACACCACGAGAGUUUGUAACACCCGAAGCCGGUGGAGUAACCAUUUUGGAGCUAGCCGUCGAAGGUGGGACAAAUGAUUGGGGUGAAGUCGUAACAAGGUAGCCGUAUCGGAAGGUGCGGCUGGAUCACCUCCUUUCU